UUGGGGCUGCCCUCUGGUUGUGAGGAUGCCCGAGUUUAUUUCCGAACCAAAUGAAUGAGGUCAACCGGAUACACCGGUACACGGAAGGCCCGAUUUAGAAAGCAACAUGAUUCUCGCGAUGGGCUAUAGAGGGCCUGUCAAAAGAACGUAGCACAGGAUAUUCUAUUACCUUCUAGUUGUCAUGAUUUUGCUGAUUCGUUCUAUUUCGUGCAAGACUUCAAGCAAGUUAGCAGUGCGCGGCGCGUCUAAAACUCGAGUAGAUAGUUGUCAGUUGUAAAAGUAAUUACAGACUAGUGUAUCGUAGCAAGGGUGCAGGGUGGCGAACUAAGCGGUCACUUGCCACGUGGAUCGCGCUCAAGUAAACCGAGCGGAAAAAGGCCAAGUUUGGCCUUUUUCCAUCUGUUAGCCAAUUUCGGAGCAGCUUCCCGGUCAGUCAGACACCCUGGGACAAUAUACGACGGAACAGCAAAUAUCCCUAAUUCUAGAGCCAACCCGGCACGUGCUCCAAGUGGAAGUUUCGGCACGAGAAGAUUAUCGACGGCCGAGUGAUUGCACGGAUUUCCAAAUCUCGCUUAGGAAGACGCCUUGGUACUGACCCCCAGGUUCGAUUUAAGCCAGUUUAUGCCAUAUUAUCUGCCGAACGCCAUCGUUGACGGGCAAAUCCGUCGGAAGCUAUUGCGCGACGUCCCGAUAGGAGCUAGUCUGAUCGACGCAACCCCCAUAUACCGGAAGAUUAGCAGCAAGUGUCAGUUCAGUGCCAGGUGGCCAGGGUGGCUAACCAUCCUCGACGAAUCGUCAACAUUAUGAAUUGCCGGACAGUUCCAAAGGUCCCACCACACCGUAAGUGAACCCGCACCCGACCGUAUGCAGAAAAACCGUAAGUCGCGCUGAUUAGUUAGUGUAAGACAAAACCCUUUAAUUGUAAUUAGCCUGUAAGAUAAAUCGUGAUCACGAAUUUAGUAGGAGAGUUAGAUCCCAAUAAUGUAUAAGAAUAAAACAAUAAUGAUAACAGCUCGUUUGUCUCGCUCAAAAGUACUGUUUUUCUAUUAGAUCAAGAAGCAAGGUUCCUUAGAUUUCACACAUUACGGUUGAUAUCGCCCUGAUCCGAUGAAAAUUUACAUAAAGCUAUAAUUUCCCACCCCUCACUUUCUGAAAUCUUUCCGAGGUUCGAAACGGUAAUAUUGGAAAAGCUAGUUGGUUCCAACCCUGCUAAUGAACCCUCUUGCGUACAGUCCGAGGAUAUGUUGAUUUUUAUGUUGUAAGGGCAAGCUUUCGUGUACAGUCAAAGUAGCAUAGAACGACCCUGGGAGUUUUCCUAU
Long non-coding RNA from Topomyia yanbarensis, 1319 nucleotides. RefSeq lists it as uncharacterized. The record is from RefSeq and is a predicted model, not a curated record. Lineage: Eukaryota; Metazoa; Arthropoda; Insecta; Diptera; Culicidae. The transcript has 3 exons.